Long non-coding RNA from Manacus vitellinus (golden-collared manakin), 299 nucleotides. RefSeq lists it as uncharacterized. Lineage: Eukaryota; Metazoa; Chordata; Aves; Passeriformes; Pipridae. The transcript is spliced from 3 exons. The record is from RefSeq and is a predicted model, not a curated record.
CUCUCCGGCGCGCAGGAUACACCAGGUAGUUGGGAAGAGAGCGGAGACAAGUGUGGGAAGCCGUGGAGGACUUAAGCUUUUCCCUGGGUUUUCCAGCUGAGUCGCACCUCCAAGAUGAUGAGUUACUACAUGGACACGACCAUCGGCAGUGCAGCCCCUUAUCCUUUGGCUCGGCCUGGAGUGAUGAAGGCGGGAGCCGCCGGUGCCUGCGAGGAUCCCUGGGUGAGCUGUGGCUUCCAGGCCUCCUGCUGCCCCCCCCGGCCCUGCUGCCCGCUGUGGGACGAGCCCAGCACGCAGGA